Molecule: ribosomal RNA, 147 nt
Filed under: uncultured bacterium
Lineage: Bacteria
Description: partial 16S ribosomal RNA
Rfam family: Bacterial small subunit ribosomal RNA
Source: RNAcentral
AGCCUGAUCCAGCCAUGCCGCGUGCAGGAAGACUGCCCUAUGGGUUGUAAACUGCUUUUAUACAGGAAGAAACACUCGGACGUGUCCGAGCUUGACGGUACUGUAAGAAUAAGCACCGGCUAACUCCAUGCCAGCAGCCGCGGUAAU